AAGUCGUAACAAGGUUUCCGUAGGUGAACCUGCGGAAGGAUCAUUAACACGUAUCCAACGUUAAACAACCCUGUGAACCUUGAACGUGCUCCUGCAGCCCCAUGAAAUCAGCAAUCCCUGGUAAAUCAUUGUUGCCGAAACGGCUGUUCAGUACCGAGCGCAGUGUAAGCGACCUGCCUAAGCGAUCAGUGUCUGAAAGUGUCAUUGAUUGUGUAAGGAUGGCGCCGGGCCCAGGGCUCACGCCCCUUUCAGUUUCCGACUGCAGCCGAUAAUACGGACGCCGUAAAAAACUGAACAACUGUUAACAAUGUAUCUUGGUUCUC
Molecule: unclassified non-coding RNA, 323 nt
Filed under: fungal sp.
Lineage: Eukaryota; Fungi
Description: partial internal transcribed spacer region
Rfam family: Eukaryotic small subunit ribosomal RNA (bases 1-46)
Source: RNAcentral